UGGGGAAUUUUGGACAAUGGGCGAAAGCCUGAUCCAGCAAUGCCGCGUGUGUGAAGAAGGCCUUCGGGUUGUAAAGCACUUUUGUCCGGAAAGAAAUCCUUGGCUCUAAUACAGUCGGGGGAUGACGGUACCGGAAGAAUAAGCACCGGCUAACUACGUGCCAGCAGCCGCGGUAAUACGUAGGGUGCAAGCGUUAAUCGGAAUUACUGGGCGUAAAGCGUGCGCAGGCGGUUUGCUAAGACCGAUGUGAAAUCCCCGGGCUCAACCUGGGAACUGCAUUGGUGACUGGCAGGCUAGAGUAUGGCAGGAGGGGGGUAGAAUUCCACGUGUGAGCAGUGAAAUGCGUAGAGAUGUGGAGGAAUACCGAUGGCGAAGGCAGCCCCCUGGGCCAAUACUGAC
This 399-nucleotide ribosomal RNA is filed under the name uncultured bacterium. RNAcentral describes it as "partial 16S ribosomal RNA". It matches the Rfam family "Bacterial small subunit ribosomal RNA", at positions 355 to 744 of the family's 1533-position model. The record is from RNAcentral.